AACGAACGCUGGCGGCGUGGAUAGGACAUGCAAGUCGAACGGGAUUACUUCUGGUAGCAAUACCGGAAGUAAUUUAGUGGCGAACGGGUGCGUAACACGUGGGGAAUCUGCCGAGAAGUGGGGGAUAGCUCGUCGAAAGGCGAAUUAAUACCGCAUAUGAUCAGCCAAGACAUCUUGGCGACAUCAAAGCCGGGGCAACCUGGCGCUUCUUGAUGACCCCGCGGCCUANCAGCUAGUUGGUGAGGUAACGGCCCACCAAGGCUAUGACGGGUAGCUGGUCUGAGAGGACGACCAGUCACACUGGAACUGAGACACGGUCCAGACACCUACGGGUGGCAGCAGUCGAGUAAUUUUUCUCAAGUGGGGCCAACCCU
RNAcentral lists this ribosomal RNA (374 nucleotides) under uncultured bacterium. RNAcentral describes it as "bacterial SSU rRNA". It matches the Rfam family "Bacterial small subunit ribosomal RNA", at positions 29 to 384 of the family's 1533-position model. The record is from RNAcentral.